This is a long non-coding RNA of Heterocephalus glaber (naked mole-rat), 347 nucleotides long. Lineage: Eukaryota; Metazoa; Chordata; Mammalia; Rodentia; Bathyergidae. The record is from Ensembl.
UUGGGAUCCUCUUGUUCAGUCUGUCAGAAUGCUGAGAUUGCAGACAUGUGCCACAGUGUCCAGCAGACUGCUUGAACUUUAUGGAAGCAGGCGCUUGCCCCCUAGGGAUGGAGCCAGGCGGGGAAGCCGGGUGAUGGACUCCACAGUUGACCAAGGGGCACAGGGGUGCGGAACACACUCGCGGCUUGCAGAUUUUGCUUCCGAGAUGGGUUCCGUGAGGCGCAGCGCGAGCAGCGGACCGGGAGGAGCUCGCGGCGGGGCUAGCGUGGAACCCGGGCCCGGAGCCCCUCCCGCCUCCAGGCUGGAUUCUCCAGGCCGAGGUGCGCCCCAGCGGCCUAGCGCUCCAG